UUUGAACCGAAUGCUCACCCCUAAGUUGAAUGCUAUCAAUAAGUUAGAGGUUCAUAUCCUGGCAACUGCCCUAAAAAUUUCCAAUAUACCAAAAGAAAAAAAGAAAAAGAAAAAUGGGUUCACCCAUGAUUAUGGAUGUUUGUAUCUGAUAAUCUUUUCAUCAAAGACAUCAAUUUGAAAUUAAGAGAAUGCGGCGUGUAAAGUUUGGCUCUGUUGAUUUCUCUCCAUGUUUUCUAAACCCUUUUCAAUGUGGUUUAUUAAAGUAUUUUUAUCUGUUUCUUUAUAUUGGCAAAAUUAAGCUUUUUUAGUCACUUUUUGUUUUCUCAAAAUGCAAGUUUAAACGAGUCUCCCCCAAAUUUAAGUUUAAAACGACUUCGUAAAGAGCUUACCCAACUCUUAUAUUGUGUGAGCUAAUAUCAAUUUGCUGUUUUCUUGUUUGUAUAGGCUUCAUGUCGCAUUGGAACGCCUGGGAAUCUGAUGAGAUGGAUGAGAGCGUCUCUGUUGUGAGGAGAUGGGAGGACUUGGACACUGAUAUUUUAGUCAAGAUAUUGCAGUCUUUUGACAUCUUCCAACUAACUUCGGGCAUUGCUCACGUUUGUAGUUCAUGGCGUUUGGCCUGCUGCGAUCCUUUGCUCUGGAAAACACUCGACUUGUCUAUGUUGAAAUCUAAUUUCAUUAAAAUCCCUUUGGAGCCUUAUGUGUAUGUGGAUGGCCGAUCUGAUAAGACAUUGACUCGGGUGUUGAAGAUAUCCUUGAAUCUUAGCAAGGGAAACAUAACAUCAUUGAUAUUCCAUUUCAAUCUGUAUGUAAGCGACGAGCAGUUGACUUAUACUGCUGAAAGGUGCCCACGACUUAGAAGACUUGUUCUGCCAGCAUGGAACCGAAUAAAAAAGACUGGAAUAUGCAAGGCCAUACGCAUGUGGAGAGAUCUUGAAUCCUUGACAAUGCCUAGCAUAGCAAAUCCCCCUUAUCUUAUUGAGGAAAUUGCCAAUAAUUGUAGGAACUUCAGUGAACUCAAGGUCAUGGGCCCUUUUGACAUUUUCUUUGCCUCCACACUAGCUGCAUAUCUUCCAAAAUUAAAAGUUUUGAGCCUACGAUGUUCAAUGCUAAUUAAGGAUGCCUUGAUCCUAAUCUUGGAUGGUUUGCAAUGCCUAGAAGUGCUCAACAUAUCACAUUGCCUUUUGAUAGAAGCCCCCACACCCCCUGCCCCAAGACGAAUUAUUAGGGAGCUUGAUCAAACUAUCCUGGAGAAGGCAUCUCGGUUACGUGAAUUCUUAACUUGCAUGGAAGACUCCUGCAUUAUGUGCCAGAGGACAAAAAAUGAUGAAGGGCUCUUGCGGUGGUAUAAGUAUGAGGAAGGUUUGUGGAAGGCAGAUGAGGUGAGUUCUCUUGCUCUUUGAUUGGAGGAUUCUGAGAUCAUAUUUUAGUGCCUAGAAGCUAUAGGACAUGCACCCUUUUCCUGAUUAUUGCUUUGCUUUAAUGAUAGAAAUAGAAUAAAACGAUGUUUGAAUGGAUGUAAUUAAAAAGCUCUCAUCAUUGUGGUGUUGUGGUGAUAAAAAAAAACCUCCUCUCAAUGGCUGGUCAUGGAGAGGGUCUGAGGAUUUGCUGAUAAUCUGCUCCUUUUGCAGAGAUAUCAUUUGUAAUUGUGGUGAUAAUGUAUAUAUGGUAAAUUAUCCCUUUCUGUUGUUCCCAGGUCAUUUUCUCUUUCUUUCAGCAUUAUGCUUUUUAGAUAAGUUAAUCUAAUGGAAAUUAAUCUACUUUAUAACCAGCAUUCACUUUUUUCUGUCAUCAUCCUAUAUAGGAACUAAAGCUUUAGCAAUUUUGUCCCUGGAGAUGGGUAUAUUUUUGGCUAAUCAAGAAUAUUAACGUAUUCCUGACUCCUAGUUGUGCUGGUCAAUCAUUCAAAUGAUCAUGUAGACUAUACUGAUUAUUCCUGAUUUUCUAUCUCAACAAGGACUACACAUGCUAAUAUCAGAAUUUUAAUGUUUUGUCUGCCGGAAAUGAAGAUUGUACUGGCAGUUUAUUUUGACUAUUUUUGGGAUUUCUUUUCUUUUCAGUCACAUAUUUUAUUUUGAAAUUUUGAAGCUCGUAAGUUUUCAAUGUUGGCAUGUAAUCUCAUUGAAAACAAUGCAAGUGACAGUUGAAUUCUUUUAAUUAAUGUUCAGUCUUUUGGUUGACAUUUUUGCAUUAUACAAGUGUGUUGUCUUUUUUUCUCAUGUUUUGAUACCACAGCAUGGUAGCUGUAAAUUCUAUUAUUCUAAGUUUAUAGUGAAACAGGC
Molecule: unclassified non-coding RNA, 2279 nt
Filed under: Hevea brasiliensis (rubber tree)
Lineage: Eukaryota; Viridiplantae; Streptophyta; Magnoliopsida; Malpighiales; Euphorbiaceae
Source: RNAcentral